CGUCGUGAGACAGUUCGGUCCCUAUCUGCCGUGGGCGCUGGAGAAUUGAGGGGGGCUGCUCCUAGUACGAGAUGACCGGAGUGGACGCAUCACUGGUGUUCGGGUUGUCAUGCCAAUGGCACUGCCCGUUAGCUAAAUGCGGAAGAGAUAAGUGCUGAAAGCAUCUAAGCACGAAACUUGCCCCGAGAUGAGUUCUCCCUGAGUCUUUAAGUCUCCUGAAGGAACGUUGAAGACGACGACGU
Molecule: ribosomal RNA, 242 nt
Filed under: Klebsiella pneumoniae
Lineage: Bacteria; Pseudomonadati; Pseudomonadota; Gammaproteobacteria; Enterobacterales; Enterobacteriaceae
Description: partial 23S ribosomal RNA
Rfam family: Bacterial large subunit ribosomal RNA
Source: RNAcentral